Molecule: ribosomal RNA, 253 nt
Filed under: uncultured bacterium
Lineage: Bacteria
Description: partial 16S ribosomal RNA
Rfam family: Bacterial small subunit ribosomal RNA
Source: RNAcentral
UACGUAGGUGGCAAGCGUUAUCCGGAAUUAUUGGGCGUAAAGAGCGCGCAGGUGGUUAAUUAAGUCUGAUGUGAAAGCCCACGGCUUAACCGUGGAGGGUCAUUGGAAACUGGUUGACUUGUGUGCAGAAGAGGGAAGUGGAAUUCCAUGUGUAGCGGUGAAAUGCGUAGAGAUAUGGAGGAACACCAGUGGCGAAGGCGGCUUCCUGGUCUGCAACUGACACUGAGGCGCGAAAGCGUGGGGAGCAAACAGG